Tupaia belangeri chinensis (Chinese tree shrew) is the source of this 576-nucleotide RNA transcript. It is a transcript of the gene named bone morphogenetic protein receptor type 1B, with no coding region annotated. The transcript is spliced from 2 exons. The record is from RefSeq and is a predicted model, not a curated record. NCBI's taxonomy places the organism in Eukaryota, Metazoa, Chordata, Mammalia, Scandentia, Tupaiidae.
AGCAAAAUGGUAUUUCCAGGCAGGCACAGGGUUGCCGGGUAGUGAGCCAAUCCACAGCUUUGUCUGAGCAGCUGAGGACUUUGCCGAGUCUUACCACGGUGUUCGGUGACACAGACCUGUGCCAUGAGCAAGGAAAGCACUGAGCAAGUGUCAGGGUCAAUAUUUAUAGACCACGACGUAGCUGCCUCGCGGAGAGACACACACAGAGGGCAAAGCGAGACCGCGGUGGAGGGAACUUUAGUUUCCCUUGUUUUUUUUCUGGAAAAAAAAAAUUCUUUUUAACUCUCAGGUUCACACGUCUGCAGAAUCAUAACCAUUUGUUGCUGAGCGAUGACAAGCGAGGAAAGGAAAAGUUAAAUGAGCAAGCCUGCCCUGAGUGAGGAGCCAACUUCCCUGAUAACAUGCUUUUGCGAAGCUCAGGAAAACUAAAUGUGGGCACCAAGAAAGAGGAUGGUGAGAGUACAGCCCCCACCCCUCGUCCGAAGGUCUUGCGUUGUAAAUGCCACCACCAUUGCCCAGAAGACUCUGUCAACAAUAUUUGCAGGUUGGUGAUAUGAAUUAUUUAAACUCAGCUGC